This 460-nucleotide ribosomal RNA is filed under the name uncultured bacterium. Its description in RNAcentral is "partial 16S ribosomal RNA". It matches the Rfam family "Bacterial small subunit ribosomal RNA", at positions 338 to 795 of the family's 1533-position model. The record is from RNAcentral.
CCUACGGGGAGCUGCAGUGAGGAAUAUUGGUCAAUGGCCGGAAGGCUGAACCAGCCAUGCCGCGUGAAGGUCAGUGCCCUAUGGGCGUUAAACUUCUUUUGUGCGGGAGCAAUAAUGGUCACGUGUGGCCAGACGAGAGUACCGUACGAAUAAGCAUCGGCUCACUCCGUGCCAGCAGCCGCGGUAAUACGGGGGAUGCAAGCGUUAUCCGGAUUUAUUGGGUUUAAAGGGUGCGUAGGCUGUGAGGUAAGUCAGCGGUGAAAUGCCCCCGCUCAACGGGGUGAAGUGCCAUUGAUACUGCCUGGCUGGAAUGCGGAUGCCGUGGGAGGAAUGUGUGGUGUAGCGGUGAAAUGCAUAGAUAUCACACAGAACACCGAUUGCGAAGGCAUCUCACGAAGCCGCGAUUGACGCUGAUGCACGAAAGCGUGGGUAUCAAACAGGAUUAGAUACCCUAGUAGUC